RNAcentral lists this ribosomal RNA (449 nucleotides) under Klebsiella pneumoniae. RNAcentral's name for it is "bacterial SSU rRNA". It matches the Rfam family "Bacterial small subunit ribosomal RNA", at positions 1 to 448 of the family's 1533-position model. Lineage: Bacteria; Pseudomonadati; Pseudomonadota; Gammaproteobacteria; Enterobacterales; Enterobacteriaceae. The record is from RNAcentral.
AAAUUGAAGAGUUUGAUCAUGGCUCAGAUUGAACGCUGGCGGCAGGCCUAACACAUGCAAGUCGAGCGGUAGCACAGAGAGCUUGCUCUCGGGUGACGAGCGGCGGACGGGUGAGUAAUGUCUGGGAAACUGCCUGAUGGAGGGGGAUAACUACUGGAAACGGUAGCUAAUACCGCAUAACGUCGCAAGACCAAAGUGGGGGACCUUCGGGCCUCAUGCCAUCAGAUGUGCCCAGAUGGGAUUAGCUAGUAGGUGGGGUAAUGGCUCACCUAGGCGACGAUCCCUAGCUGGUCUGAGAGGAUGACCAGCCACACUGGAACUGAGACACGGUCCAGACUCCUACGGGAGGCAGCAGUGGGGAAUAUUGCACAAUGGGCGCAAGCCUGAUGCAGCCAUGCCGCGUGUGUGAAGAAGGCCUUCGGGUUGUAAAGCACUUUCAGCGGGGAGGA